RNAcentral lists this long non-coding RNA (1035 nucleotides) under Homo sapiens (human). RNAcentral's name for it is "non-protein coding lnc-HENMT1-2:4". Lineage: Eukaryota; Metazoa; Chordata; Mammalia; Primates; Hominidae. The record is from RNAcentral.
CUCUGCACGCUGAAGUCGCUGCAGUGACCUCCGUACCUGACUCUUAGGGGAUUUCUCCUGAGAAUUUGGGGGCCGGGGGAGAGGGUUGUAGGCCUAAUCCGUUGUUGUUGUAUUUUGACUGGGGGCUUGAUUUCUUUUGUCGGGAGCUGAGCCAGGAAGGGUUCGCAUGGCUGCGGUGUGCUUGCUAAUAUCGUCACUCUGACUUCUGCAGAGUAUCCGAGAGGGGUCUCCUGGGAUCUCAGUUUUAAGGUUCUCUGGAAGGUACAAUGGUCAGGGACCCCACUCCUCCAGGAGAUUCUGAUCAAAGGUCACGUACUUCGCCAGCCUCUAGUGUCCAGCCAGAAGUCUUAAAUUUAUUCAUCCGUAAGAUUGAGAUAACAUCUGGCUGGGCUGUUGUGAGCAUUGAAAGAGCUAAUGUACUUGUAGUGCCUAGUAGACUGUUCCAGGCAUCUGGUAGGCGCCUUUUCUUUUUCUCCCUGCUCCAGAUCUUUGGAUUCUAGGAAUGUAUCCGGAGUGAUAAACAUUGGGCGAGAUACUGUAUAUUGGGAGUGGGUGUGUGAAUGUGUGGGGAGUUUGAAUGUGGCAAUCUUGACUUCAGUGGCGCAUACACAGGAGGAGAAAAGGAUAAGAUGGAAACUUUGGGGAAAAUCCACAUCUGGAUGAAAAUAAACCAGAAGAGGAGAGAGAGAGAGCGAAGACCAGCAGAAAAGUAUUUAAACCAAGAGACAGUUGUUUGACAGAAUACAAGGAAAUAGAAAAGAUAAGUGAAUGGAGUGAUUGAUUAGUGUUUGGAGCUGUACGGUACGAAAGUGGAUAUCCUGUCUGGUUCCUUUGUUUUAGGUUGCAAGAGAACUAGAACCCUGAGAGGAGAAGCAGUUUUCACCUUCUUACUAGCAAAUCUUGUUUUUCUCUAUAGUGGUUUUUAUUAACUUCCAAAGGAAAACUGAAGAUCCUAACCCCUGUGUCAUGAGUUAUCACGUUAAAAGUCCAUAGAAAAAAUUUUUUUUAACCCAGUUCUUUUUGUGUAUAUAUUUU